GGGAGUUACGCUUUCAUUUCUCUCACAAAAUUUUGCCUGCACGGAGAGAAGCGAAGAUUUGGCCGGACUCCUGCUGUGAGGAAGGGGCACACCUGGGUUACAGCUCAGCCGUCCUCCAGCAGAGCCCUUCUGCUCCGGGUGCCAGGUCCUGACCCAGUAGGUUCCUCUCACUCAGCGGGUCUGGAGAGAUGCAGCGACUCCGGGAGGACGUCACCUGCUCCAUCUGCCUGGAUGUCUUGAAUGACCCCGUCUCCAUCGAGUGUGGCCACAACUUCUGCCGGGGCUGCCUCGCGGCUCACUGGCACAUGGUCUCAGCCUGGGGGUCCCAGUGCCCUGAGUGCCGGGCUCCCUGCUCCAGGGACAGGAUGACCCCAGACACACGCCUCAGAGCCCUGGUGGAAAAAAUCACAGCACCCCUGCGGGACGAGAUGGAGCCGGUGAGACUGGACAGGCUGAAUCAGGGGAAAGGGCGCAGGCUCCCACAGGCCGCAGCAGGGGCCGGGGGCUCAGCCAGAGCCGGGGCGCCCGGUGCAGCUGGUGCGUCUGGAUGAGGAAGGGGGUCUGACCUUGGACGAGGAGGCCCUGAGCCGCUGCCUGGAGCAGGGUGGGG
This is a long non-coding RNA of Mauremys reevesii (Reeves's turtle), 610 nucleotides long. RefSeq lists it as uncharacterized. The transcript has 3 exons. NCBI's taxonomy places the organism in Eukaryota, Metazoa, Chordata, Testudines, Geoemydidae. The record is from RefSeq and is a predicted model, not a curated record.